Molecule: long non-coding RNA, 968 nt
Organism: Triticum aestivum (bread wheat)
Lineage: Eukaryota; Viridiplantae; Streptophyta; Magnoliopsida; Poales; Poaceae
Exons: 5
Source: RefSeq, a predicted model, not a curated record
GCCACCCCAUUUCCCUCUCGUUCGCGCACCAAAACCCGACCAUAACCACGGCAACUCCGCCCCCUCCUCCUCCCCCCUUCAUCUGUCGACCCCACCGCCGUUAGCACGCGUCGGAUCUGGGCAUUGGACGUCGGUACGCGGCCCCGACGGAUCUACGCGGCGGCGGCGGCCAGGGAGGAGCCGCGGCCGAGGUUACCCAAAACCCUACCCUAGCUCUUGUCGGCAAUGUCGGAUUGGGUUUGACCUCUCGCUUUGAUGGGGGCCUUGCAGGCAGCGGUGAAGAGUUGUUCCAGGCGGCGACGGGUGGAGAUCCUUCAGCGCAGUGGGACGACCAGAGUCCAGAGCCAACCCAACCCAACCCCUAGAAGAAAGAGGUUUCGUGCUGAAGAUUUGUUGUUCCCACGCGGCAACGGGCAGAGACACAUCGACCCAUCCCGAACCAACACGGAUAAGAGAGUAAACCUAAGGUGAAGACUGAAGGCGUGCUAUUUGUGACACAGCAAAAAGACAAGGAAGAUCUGUGGGUUAUCCUUCCUUUGCUCCACCGCCCCCUGCCUCCCCACGCCUUUGCCUUUGCCACCAGCGGCUCUCUCAGAUGGCUCGCAUGACCAAGACCAAGGCCAAGGCCAAGGCAAAGGGCGCAAGCAAUGAAACAAAGCACACCAACAACACAGAGUGGCAUGAAUCUGAAAAGGAUUAUGUUUCAUUCGAUCUCGAUCUUCGCCCAGAGUAUUACGAAGAAAGUCACAGCAAGUUGAUGGAUGCUAUCAUAGCUCUCCUAGAGAAGGAGGCGAAUAACGAGAACAAGGGACUGCCUAAAGGCGAGCAAAAGCCGACCAAGGUUAAUGGAAGGGUGUACACGGCAGCAGGUGGUGCAUUUUUGGUACGCCUGCUGCUGGAUGAUCCUAAGAAGGAGGUUGUUACCCUUCUGUAUGGUCUGAAGGAUCUUUACUUAAAAGGAUGGAACG